GCUUCGUUAGCUCAAUCGGCAGAGCGGCGGAUUGUAAUCCGCUGAUCGGAGUUCAAUUCUCCGAUGAAGCUCCA
This 74-nucleotide transfer RNA is filed under the name Caudoviricetes sp. RNAcentral's name for it is "tRNA-OTHER". It matches the Rfam family "tRNA". From Rfam's summary of the family: Transfer RNA (tRNA) molecules are approximately 80 nucleotides in length. Lineage: Duplodnaviria; Heunggongvirae; Uroviricota; Caudoviricetes. The record is from RNAcentral.